AUUCUUCCCUUAUUUCUUUUUGCACUUGAAGAUGGCGGUAAAGGAAAUUCUAGGAGAAUGAUGCAUUCGAGUAAUCUGAAAGAUGAGAGUGACAAGCAAGAGAAUAGUAGAGGACAAGAACAUCCAAUGAACCAUGAAUUUGAGGGAGGAGGGGAUGCUAAUAAAAAGAGUCCCAAAAUGUUUCAGUGUGGAGAUAUUGGGCAUUAUGCGUUCGAUUGCACUUCCAGUGAAAAGUUGUGUUUCAUUGUAAGAAUCCAGGACAUUUUAUAAAAGAAUGUGAAGAACUGAAAGAGAAAACCUUUAGUGAAUGCUGCUAAAGCAUGAAAUUGUAGAUCUAUCUUUCAUGAGAUUUAGAUCGUCUCAAUAUGUAUUUUUCUCAAUUUUUCUUCAAUCUUAAUCUUAUGUGAGUUUUUAGGUCUUGCAUGUAGUUUAUGAAGAUUGCAUGUUACUUUGAAUGGUUAAUUUUGUUUAGAAAAUUAUAAUGUUUCAAUGUUCUUUUGUUUUUGGAUAUGAUUUGAGGCUUUAAUUUGAGUAUUUCAGAUUCAAGAAAUUUGUUGUUUUAUGAGAUUUUGAGAUUACCGCAUUUCUAUGAGUGUUGAAAAAGAAAUAGGAAGAAUAUUUGAAUUGUUCAUGAGACCUAUACUUGAUUUUGUAUAAAAAGUUGAUUUUUAUACUUAUUUUUAAAUUUUGACGCUCAAAAUAGAUAUCAAGAGUCUAAGUCUCCCAAAUGAUAAAUAUUUUGUGCCGAUUAAGUUGCUUUUAAAUUAUUUUUUUAGUAGAAUUAAGUUUUUUGUCACAGGAUUUGAAUUUAUGCAUUAAGUUAUAAAUUUAAGAAAAAUGACUAAUUUUGGAGACUAUGGUACAAUUAAGGAUGUAAACCAUAAGGAUGGUAAUCUUUUAGUUAGAGAAAGCAACUGGGUUAGCCUUUGAUGCAUUAAAGCCUUAUUUAGAGGUUUCGAAUGAUUUGGGGAAUAUCUUUUGGGCAUCUACGGUUUUGGUUCAUUUGAAUUGAUAGAAAUAAUCACAUUUUUAGAGGAGGGAUAUUUAAUGUAGAUGAUACUAAAAUUCUAUCAAAUUUUGCUCUUGGAGAGGGUCUGUUUUAGACUCUAACUUAUCUACCUGCUAUGAUUUCUAUGACAGAUUUAUUUCUCUUGUAACUGUUUAAGUGGAUGUAACAUUUCCGCAUCUCCUUUGUAAAGAUUUUGAGUACCCUUAUUCUCCUUUUGAUAUUUUUAUUGCCUAUAAAAAUACCACUUUAGGUUUAUUCAUAUUUUAAAAAUGAUUCUUUUUGAGCAUAAAGUAAACAUAUCUAUUUAUAAUCCAUUAAAAUGCACCUUUGCGUUUUAACAUUUCAAUUUCCUUUUUGGCAUAUAAUUCAUAUUAUCAUGUUUCUCAUGUUGCAGUAUCUUUUAAAUUCAUCUUUACUUCUAAAAAAGUUAAAACAAAUAUUUAUUUGCUAUAAAAGGUCAUGAAUUUAAAUUAUGACAAAUUCAAAAAUAUUUUAAUCUAUGAAUAUAUAUAUAUAUAUAUAUAUAUAUAUAUAUAUAUAUAUAUAUAGUAUAUAUAUAUAUAUAUAUAUAUAUAUAUAUAUAUAUAUAUAUAUAUAUAUAUAUAUAUAUAUAUAUAUAUAUAUAUAUAUAUAUAUAUAUAUAUUAUAUAUAUAUAUAUAUAUUUGUUUUGGAAUAAAUUCUUCUUUUAUAAAAAUAAGUUAAUUUUAUUUUUGAUAUAUCUUUUUAAUAUUAAACUCUAAAACAAUUUAAGUUUAUUUCAAUUUUAACAAAUUAAAUAGUACUUAUUUAUGAUACCAUUUUGAAUACUACCAUGGAAAGUUGGUCGUUAGUUUUAAGGUUUUAUUUUAAAAUCACAUUACAAGCAUUAAAUAUAUAUAAUAUAAUAGAUAUAUCAUUUUCUUGCAUAUUGAUAUUAUGUUCAGAAUCCAACUCAUUACAAUAUUUUAAAGAAGAUGAUUUCAUGACUCAUUUUUGAAGUUGCAUAUUUCUGAUACCUUAAGUGUUAUGAUUUUGUUGUUUGUCUUAUAAGCGUUUGGUUCUAGUUUUUAUCUUAUUGAGUCUCCUCAUCAAUUAUGCAAUUGAUAUUUAGAUUCGUAUUUUAGCAUGUAUGAGUCCAAGUAUUUGAUUAUAGCUUAAGCAAUAUGAUUGAAAUCAUCAAUCUAUUGAGUUUGUCAGUCAAAAACUAUGAUUGAGAAUGAUUCAAAUCAUGACCAUUGUAGAAUCUCAAAAAUCCUUUAAAAAUUAAUGAAAAGGAAAUUUGGCCAGUGUAACUUGAAUUACACAGUUAGUCUGACUUGAAUCAGAGGAUAUAUUUUCAGAUCUUCUAAUUCGAAUCAAAGGAAGGUCUGAUUUGAAUUAAAGCAAUUUGAAUCAAAUCACAAAAUUGUGUGAUUCGAAUCACUGUGAAAUGGAAAUUCUCCUGGUGGCUUUUAGAACUAUGACUGGGAGCAACCGAUUAUUUGACUCGAGUCAAGUGAUUUGAAUCACAGACCUUGUGAUUCAAAUCACACAAAUGAAUUUCAUAUAGUUUUUGCUUAUUGAUUCAAAUCAUUUGGUUUUUUGAUUCCAAUUAUAACUCUUGCUUUGAACUUAAAUCAUACACCAUUUUUGUCUCAUUUUUAGGCUAGAUCUCCAACACAUAUAGAUACCGUUUUUCUCUCAAAAACCUUCAAAAUAUUAGAAAACACACACUUCCAAUAUUAAUUUGAAAACUCACAAACUACUUGUUCUCUCAUAUUUCCAAAAGAGUUUUAAAUCUUUUUUGAACACUUGUAAGUGAUUUCUUUCAUCUUCUACCUUAUUCUUUAUCCAUUAUUACAUGGAUAAGAAUCUCAUAUUUUGAGAUUCGUGAUUGUUUUUGAGAUGUUUUUGAAUUUAAUGUGUCUUUGAAUAUUUAAUUAAGAUUUUAGAGGUUCUCAAGAUGUGAGAUGUUGUGGUUAGUUUCGACAAUUCGAGUAAAAAAGAAGGACAUUCUUCUCUUCAGGUCUAUAUUGGUAGCGUUGUGUGGAAGCCUACAGACAAGGUGAGAGUUCUUCUCAAUCUUCGGACAUACCAACACUUAAGAUACCGACAGGAUUAAGUAAAGAUCAUUGCAGAGCAGAGACUUUGGAGUAGGUUUUGGGCGUGAAGAUUUCAUAAAGAGUUUAGCUUGUAGGUGUGAAGACAAACUUCCAACAAAUUUUGAUGAAGACAAUGCAUUCAAGCUUAAAUUUCAUUAUCAAAGAAGAAGAGAAAAAAUUGCUUUUGGUCAAUCAAGGUAUAUGGAAAUUCAUAUCAUAUGCAAUCUUAAAGUGCUCAAUUUUACUGAUCAUACAUUUGAAAAUAUUCAUGUCAUACUUUGUUAAAAUGUUUUUUAAAAUGUUUUAAUUGCAUUAGUUGAAAAUAAAUUUUGAUGCAUGCAUAAAGUUGUGGACUUAGAAUUUUUUUCAAUUUAAUUAAGCAAGCAAUUGAUUGACAAAAUUGUGCAAUAGAUUGAAUAGAACUUUGAAAUUUAAAAUUUUAACCACUGCAAUCGAUUAACAUGUUUCUGCAAUCGAUUGCAUCAGUUCAUUUUUUCAAUUUUUUAGUCCUUGCAAUCGAUUGACAGGAUUGUGCAAUCAAUUGUACCUAAACAAGUUUGGAAAAAUACUGAUUCAUGUUCACUACUUCACUCACUCCUUUUCAUGGCAUCUCUUAAAUUAAUCUCAUUAUAUUUCAUAAAUAUUUUCAAACCAUUGCCAUAUUUUAUCAAGGAUGCUUUCAUCACUAUAAAUACAUUCACAGUUUCAUUUUACAUUCACCUCUUUCAAAUUAAUCAUGAAAUCUCUCUGCAUAAUUUUCAAUAGAACCUUUACACUAAUAUACUUUUUGAAAUACAUUUUUAUAUCAUAUUCAACAAAGUAUCUUUGAGCAUUUAUAGAGCAUUUGUUCUUGAAUCUUCAUAUUUUGGAAGAGAAGAAGACUUUUAUCAUUUGAUUAAAUCUUGUCCAUUAUACAAACUUACUUAUUAUACAUAUUAUUACUGUAAAUUCCUAAGUAUCAAGGCUUGCACAGAAACUUCUGCAGAUACAAUUCAACCAGAAUCAAAAUCUGAGUUAGAUUCUGAAGAGGUAUUUUCUGAACUUUCUUGUUCUGAGCUGGAAUCUAGUUUAUCAAAAGUUCUGGAAAAAUAUCAAAAUCUUCUGAACAAAUACAAGAAUCUGAAGAAGAUUCAUGUAUUUGAAUCAGAAGCUUACUAUAAGCUUCAGAAAGACUUUUCAAGUUUGAGUGAAGAAAAUCUCAUUUUGAAAAACAACAACUCUGUGCCUCAAAGGAAGAGUCUCAAAUCCGAAAAGAAAAUUCUUUCAAAAGCCUCUACAGGUUCCGGUGAUAUCAUAAAGAAAUAUGAUCAAUAUUUCCAUAAAUUUCUUGAUAUAAGCCUGAAUAGAAGCUUAAUGGAUUCCAUGAUUUAUGGCGUUGGUAGAAAUGGAAUAAGGGGCAUUGACUAUGAUUCUGAUGAAAUAUAUUUCGGAAAAAGAUGAUAAGCCCGAUACUUUUCGGUCCCAUUUUGUCCCUUUUGGGAAACAAAAUUGAGUUAUGCCUAAACGUAGAAUCGCUUCUAAACCUAAGGCUAAAGUGAAACCUCAUUCCCAUUUCAAUUAUGCAUACAUGUAUAUAUAUCCUGCACAAAAACCCAAGUUUGUUAAGAAAUCUAGGAAGACUAACCCCAAAGGAUCCAGAAAGAUGUGGGUACCUAAGGACAAGAUAGUAUAUAUUGCAUAUAUCCUUAGAAAUAGAGUUGAGACACCAGUCAUGGUACCUGAACUCUGAAUGCUCGUGACACAAGACGGGAAGAAUGCAUAUGAUCCAAAGCUUGGAACUUAAGCCCAGAGGCAUCCUCAGUUUCAUAGGUGAUCAGAAAGGGAAGAUCACUGACUUCAGAAUAGUAGGUAACAAUAAUCUCCCUUCCAUUACUAAUGUUCUUUUAGUUGAAGGAUUAAUGUAUUGUCUUUUGUCCAUAAGUCAAUUAAGUAGCAAUGGUUAUGACAUUAUUUUCCAUUAAAAGUCCUGUAAAGGUGUCAGUGAAAAUGAUAGCUCAGUUCUUUUCAAUGGAAAAAGGAAGAAUAAAGUUUAUAAGAUAAGACUUUCUGAUUUGAAGAAUCAAAAUGUAAAAUGUCUUAUGUUUGUAAAUGAAGAGAAAUGGACGUGGCAUAAACGAUUGGGCCAAGUUAGCAUGGGGAUGAUUUCUCAGUUAAAUAAGCUUAAUUUAGUCAGAGGCCUACCAAAUAUGAAGUUUGCUUCAGAUGCUUUGAAAGGAAAGUUUUCUAAAACUUCUUUCAAGGCUAAAAAUGUUGUCUCAACAUCCAGACCAUUGGAGCUUCUUCAUAUUAACUUGUUUAGACCAGUGAAAACUGCCUUUGUCAAUGGUAAAAAAUAUAGACUGGUCAUUGUUGAUGACUACAGCAGAUGGACAUGGGUGGAAUUUCUCAAACACAAGGAUGAGUCACAUUCUGUGUUUUCUACCUUCUGCUCUCAAGUGCAAAAUGAGAAGGAUCUCAGAAUUGUAAAAGUCAGAAGUGAUCAUGGUGGAGAUUUUGAAAACAAAGAUUUUGAAUAACUCUUUGAUACUAAUGACAUUUCCCAUGAUUUCUCAUGCCCUAGAACUCCACAACAAAAUGGAGUUGUAAAGAGUAAGAAUAGGACUCUGCAAGAGAUGGCCAGAACCAUGAUCAACGAGACUAAUAUGACUAAGCACUUUUGGGCAGAGGCAGCCAACACAUCAUGUUAUAUUCAGAACAAGAUCUCUAUAAGACCUUUUAUGGAUAAUACUCCUUAUGAAUUAUGGAACAAUUUGAAGCCAAACAUUUUAUAUUUUCAUUCUUUUGGAUGUUUUUGUUUUAUACUGAACACUAAAAGGAAUCUGAGCAAGUUUGAUUCUAAGGUGCAGAAGUGCAUCGUGCAACUAUGGCUUCCUGAUUCAUAGGUAGAUUAACACCAAUUCCAUCAAAUCCAUCUAUAAUAGCAGUAGUUCUCUCAUCCUCACUAUCAUCAAAACCUUCAACACCCUCAUCAUUUAAUCAUUCCAUAUUUGUCAUCCCAUUAAUGCAUCUAGGUACUCUUACUUAAAGUUCUAUGUCAUUCACAUCAUGUUCCAGAUAAAUACCACCAUCAACUUGAAUGGCACAAGCAUAUGCAGCAAAAUCGUAUCCAUCAUCAUCCUUCCUCAACUGAAAGAAAUUUCCAUCUAUUUCAAGAAUUUUCAUCCACAUCCUAUAACUUCCUUCUUUAUAACCCCACCCCUUCACCAUGUUAUGGAUUUUAAACAUUGUCCACUUGUCAAUCUAUUGUGAGGAAACGAUCGUAUCCACACCACCUCUAUAUAUGAUGUCGUUCUCCUUUACCAUUAUAAAUUCACCUCCAUGGUGAAAAGUCACAUUAAAAUGUUGCAUGUUAUGUGAAAGGGGUUCGCAAAAAGGUUUAAUGUUCAACAUUACAAUCAAUACAUAAACAAGCCCGAACAUUGGACGAGAGUUCGAACAAACUAACCUCAGACAUUGAAAGCUUCAAUGGCGUCUUCGUGCUUUGCCUUCAAUCAUGCAAUGUAAUUCAUCAUUGUUCGUCCUCCAAAAAUAAGCUCGUGAUGCUUCAAUGGCUACUUCAAAGGCGUUCUUCAAAUUCGUCUCUUCGAUGGGUUUAUGAAUUUGGGACCAAACUAAUC
Molecule: long non-coding RNA, 6687 nt
Filed under: Lathyrus oleraceus (garden pea)
Lineage: Eukaryota; Viridiplantae; Streptophyta; Magnoliopsida; Fabales; Fabaceae
Description: Pisum sativum (pea) long non-coding RNA (PSAT_LNC035050)
Source: RNAcentral